Molecule: small nucleolar RNA, 75 nt
Filed under: Mycetomoellerius zeteki
Lineage: Eukaryota; Metazoa; Arthropoda; Insecta; Hymenoptera; Formicidae
Source: RNAcentral
AAUUAACGAUGAAAAAAUGCUUUCUCUGAACAUCUCGGAGUAGCUUAUAAUAUGAGUUUUUUAACACUGAACGUU